This 69-nucleotide transfer RNA is filed under the name Escherichia coli. RNAcentral's name for it is "tRNA-Phe". It matches the Rfam family "tRNA". Rfam says of the family: Transfer RNA (tRNA) molecules are approximately 80 nucleotides in length. Their secondary structure includes four short double-helical elements and three loops (D, anti-codon, and T loops). Further hydrogen bonds mediate the characteristic L-shaped molecular structure. tRNAs have two regions of fundamental functional importance: the anti-codon, which is responsible for specific mRNA codon recognition, and the 3' end, to which the tRNAs corresponding amino acid is attached (by aminoacyl-tRNA synthetases). tRNAs cope with the degeneracy of the genetic code in two manners: having more than one tRNA (with a specific anti-codon) for a particular amino acid; and 'wobble' base-pairing, i.e. permitting non-standard base-pairing at the 3rd anti-codon position. The record is from RNAcentral. RNAcentral also lists the same sequence under 5 other names. Lineage: Bacteria; Pseudomonadati; Pseudomonadota; Gammaproteobacteria; Enterobacterales; Enterobacteriaceae.
UAGCUCAGUCGGUAGAGCAGGGGAUUGAAAAUCCCCGUGUCCUUGGUUCGAUUCCGAGUCCGGGCACCA